This 258-nucleotide ribosomal RNA is filed under the name uncultured bacterium. RNAcentral's name for it is "partial 16S ribosomal RNA". It matches the Rfam family "Bacterial small subunit ribosomal RNA", at positions 526 to 779 of the family's 1533-position model. The record is from RNAcentral.
CGUAGGUGGCAAGCGUUAUCCGGAAUUAUUGGGCGUAAAGCGCGCGUAGGCGGUUUUUUAAGUCUGAUGUGAAAGACCCACGGCUCAACCGUGGAGGGUCAUUGGAAACUGGAAAACUUGAGUGCAGAAGAGGAAAGUGGAAUUCCAUGUGUAGCGGUGAAAUGCGCAGAGAUAUGGAGGAACACCAGUGGCGAAGGCGACUUUCUGGUCUGUAACUGACGCUGAUGUGCGAAAGACGUGGGGGAGUCAAACAGGAUU